Molecule: long non-coding RNA, 319 nt
Filed under: Sorghum bicolor (sorghum)
Lineage: Eukaryota; Viridiplantae; Streptophyta; Magnoliopsida; Poales; Poaceae
Description: long non-coding RNA (SBIC_LNC001475)
Source: RNAcentral
ACAUUCCUUUUGGAGAAGACAUGUAUAGUCGUGUCCGUGGCCGUCCACUUCUGAUUGAUACAUCUGCAAGGAUCAGUGAUGACAAACCCAAGCCUCGACCUGUAUCAUCACGUGAGGAGCAUAAAGUCAAGACAAAUGGCUCGGUAGAGAUCAAGUCUGCUUCACCUGAGAAUGCUAGUUUAAGCAACUCUGAAAAGCAGGAACAGAAAAAAAUGGUACCUGAAGAUGCUCGGGCGAAGAAGAUUAAGAGUGAUAAUGUGACACCAGUAACACCGUCUUUAGAUCCUGCUACGUCAACUUCUAAGACUGGUAAAGGGAA